AGUGAACGCUGGCGGUAGGCCUAAUACAUGCAAGUCGAACGGCAGCACAGUAAGAGCUUGCCCUUACGGGUGGCGAGUGGCGGACGGGUGAGGCAUACAUCGGAAUCUACUUUUUCGUGGGGGAUAACGUAGGGAAACUUACGCUAAUACCGCAUACGACCUACGGGUGAAAGCAGGGGAUCUUCGGACCUUGCGCGAUUGAAUGAGCCGAUGUCGGAUUAGCUAGUUGGCGGGGUAAGGGCCCACCAAGGCGACGAUCCGUAGCUGGUCUGAGAGGAUGAUCAGCCACACUGGAACUGAGACACGGUCCAGACUCCUACGGGAGGCAGCAGUGGGGAAUAUUGGACAAUGGGCGCAAGCCUGAUCCAGCCAUACCGCGUGGGUGAAGAAGGCCUUCGGGUUGUAAAGCCCUUUUGUUGGGAAAGAAAAGCAGCAGGUUAAUACCCCGCUGUUCUGACGGUACCCAAAGAAUAAGCACCGGCUAACUUCGUG
RNAcentral lists this ribosomal RNA (492 nucleotides) under uncultured bacterium. RNAcentral describes it as "partial 16S ribosomal RNA". It matches the Rfam family "Bacterial small subunit ribosomal RNA", at positions 29 to 507 of the family's 1533-position model. The record is from RNAcentral.